Molecule: ribosomal RNA, 485 nt
Filed under: uncultured bacterium
Lineage: Bacteria
Description: bacterial SSU rRNA
Rfam family: Bacterial small subunit ribosomal RNA
Source: RNAcentral
GAUGAACGCUAGCUACAGGCUUAACACAUGCAAGUCGAGGGGCAGCGCAGUGUAGCAAUACAUGGGCGGCGACCGGCGCACGGGUGCGUAACGCGUAUCCAACCUUCCCGUUACUCAGGGAUAGCCUUCCGAAAGGGAGAUUAAUACCUGAUGGUGUUUGAAUUCCGCAUGUUAUUCAAACUAAAGAUUUAUCGGUAACGGAUGGGGAUGCGUGACAUUAGAUAGUAGGCGGGGUAACGGCCCACCUAGUCUACGAUGUCUAGGGGUUCUGAGAGGAAGGUCCCCCACACUGGAACUGAGACACGGUCCAGACUCCUACGGGAGGCAGCAGUGAGGAAUAUUGGUCAAUGGUCGGAAGACUGAACCAGCCAAGUAGCGUGAAGGAUGAAGGUUCUAUGGAUUGUAAACUUCUUUAUACGGGAAUAAAACCACCUACGUGUAGGUGCUUGUAUGUACCGUAUGAAUAAGCAUCGGCUAACUCCGUG